This is a long non-coding RNA of Piliocolobus tephrosceles (Ugandan red Colobus), 1690 nucleotides long. NCBI's taxonomy places the organism in Eukaryota, Metazoa, Chordata, Mammalia, Primates, Cercopithecidae. The record is from Ensembl.
AUGUAUAUACUUGGGUAAUAUUCACCUUUUUAUUUCUUUACAGGGAAAUGGUGUCAUCGAUAAAGGACGAGAAAAAAAAAAGUAUGUUAAAAAGAUUACUAUUAUUAGACAUCGAUGUAAGACGAUUUUCAAUUAUACAAAAGUAUGUAUUAUUUGGUAUAUUUUGUUUAUAUGUAACAACAUGUGUUGGUGUUUUUUUUAAUUGGAUUGCUUUGUCCGAUUUUUUUUAUCGUAGUAAUAUAUAUUUAGAAUAUUGUAACGAACAAAAUAAAAUUAGUAAUAAAACAUAUAAGUGUGAAGAACAGAAUAAAAGAGUUCAAACAAUAUAUCCUAUUAUUCUUUGUUUUAAUUUUAUUAUGACUGCUAUAUCAGGUUUAUUAUUUGAUUACUGUGGUCCUAAAAUAACAGGUAUAAUUAGUCAUAGUUUUAAUAUACUUGCUUGGAUUUUAAUUGGAUUACAAAAAGGGAAAAGUAAUAUUAUUAUAUUUGGUUCUGUGUUUUUAGGGUUAUCAUCAGAAUCUGCAUUUAUAGCGACAAUUAGUAUGAUUUAUAUUUUUCCAUCCAAUCAUACAACAUAUACUAUUAUAUUAGGAUGUUGUGCUUCUUUUAGUUUUGCUAUUCCUUUUAUUUUAGAAUUAAUAGCUAAAGGACUUGAUCCAAGUUAUUUUAAAACCAUUUGUUUUAUGUAUUGUAUUAUUAUUUUAAUUCCUUUUUUUUUUAUUUUAUUAUUUUUUCUACCAAAAAAUAAUUUAGAAAAUAUAAUUAACGAUGGUACUGAACAACCAACUCGCAAUAAUAAUACACUAACAGAGUUGGAAGGUUAUUUAGUACAUAAUGGAAACAUUAUAAAAUCAAAAAAUCUGAAAACAUUAAAAUAUAGUACAGAAGAAAGUAGUACUUAUAGUGAUCGAAACAGUGUUGUUUAUAAUUAUACACCACAUGAUGAAAAUUCAAAACAAUUACAUAGUAUUAAAAAUCUAAACACAACAAUGAAUGAAUUAAAUAUACGAAAAGAUUUUAAACAACAAAUUAAUUUAAGUAAACAUACACCACUCGAAAGCAGAGAUAAUAAAAACGAAUUAAACAAAAAGAACACAUCGCAACAACUUAUUAUAGAUAAAGUAUUCAAUUCCUCUAUUAGUAAUAGUAGUGUACAUUUAAAUAAUAUUAAUAUGCUUAAUAUCAGUACUAGCUCUUUUAAUAAAAUAGUAUUACAUAAGCAAUGUGAAAAUACACUUGAAAACAAAUAUAUAUUAUCUUCAGAUGAUCAUAUAUUAAAUGACAACGAUGAGGGAAAAAAAAAAAAAAAAAAAAAUUGUUUUAAUAAUAAUAUUAAUGUUUUUUCGAAUAGCGAACAAAAUAAUAAUAAUAAUAAUAAUAUGCCACUAGCAAGGGGAAAACAAAAAAAUAUAUUUACAAAGAUAAUAGGUUUAUUCAAAAUAAUAAAAGAAUUAUUUUUUACUUUGAAAUAUAUGAGUGUAUGUUAUUUUUUUACUAUAUAUAAUUUAUCUUUAGUUAAUUAUAAUUCUUGCGCAAAUUUGUUUUUUGGAGAUUUUAAUGGUAUAGAAUAUUUAUUAAAAAUAUUUGGACCAUUAUCUUUUAUUUCUUGUGUUUUGUUUGGUUUUCUUAUUCGAAAAUUUCAUAUACUUAUUAUUAUUUUUAAUUUAUUAUUUAUCUCUAUUAUGAUGUA